CUCCGUAGGUGAACCUGCGGAGGGAUCAUUACACAAAUAUGAAGGCGGGCUGGAACCUCUCGGGGUUACAGCCUUGCUGAAUUAUUCACCCUUGUCUUUUGCGUACUUCUUGUUUCCUUGGUGGGUUCGCCCACCACUAGGACAAACAUAAACCUUUUGUAAUUGCAAUCAGCGUCAGUCACAAAUUAAUAAUUACAACUUUCAACAACGGAUCUCUUGGUUCUGGCAUCGAUGAAGAACGCAGCGAAAUGCGAUAAGUAGUGUGAAUUGCAGAAUUCAGUGAAUCAUCGAAUCUUUGAACGCACAUUGCGCCCUUUGGUAUUCCAAAGGGCAUGCCUGUUCGAGCGUCAUUUGUACCCUCAAGCUUUGCUUGGUGUUGGGCGUCUUGUCUCUAGCUUUGCUGGAGACUCGCCUUAAAGUAAUUGGCAGCCGGCCUACUGGUUUCGGAGCGCAGCACAAGUCGCACUCUCUAUCAGCAAAGGUCUAGCAUCCAUUAAGCCUUUUUUUCAACUUUUGACCUCGGAUCAGGUAGGGAUACCCGCUGAACUUAAGCAUAUCA
Molecule: ribosomal RNA, 559 nt
Filed under: uncultured fungus
Lineage: Eukaryota; Fungi
Description: eukaryotic LSU rRNA
Rfam family: 5.8S ribosomal RNA (bases 197-350)
Source: RNAcentral